CCAAACAAAGGAAGCAUAGCCCUAAUCAACAGGGAAGCAACAUAGAAAAGACGAGAUAACCAACAUAAAAAGCUUAUAAAGGAAAAGCUAAGACCAAUGCACUACACUUGACCCUCUGUUCCAAAGAGAAACCCACAAGCUUUCCUAUAGAAACUGUAGACGUCGGAUAGCAUCAUGGAGACCGGUAAUGAAAUACGUCCGAAGUCUCCAACCGCAACACCAACAGGCAAGAAAGCAAGCUUCACCGAUACCAGGAAAAUAAGAACCACAACAGCCAAACCACACUAAGGCAGACGAGGAAAAAGAGACCAGCUAGGAACAAAGAAAUAAUCUUGAGAUUCGGCUUGAGACAAGUCAAGGAAGAUCAACAGCACUUACACGCGGACACUCGUCGACCCAGUUUAAGCCACCUACAGACAAAAAACUGGUAACCUCCUCGCAAGAGAAGAACAGGAGAUCGUUCCACUGCGACGCCUAGAACCCAACUUCAAACCACAAAGUAGCCAAAGGGAGGGCUAGUAGAUGACUCCGCAACAAAACACCAUCCCAAAGACAAGCACAAACCAAAACCAAGCCAACACCAGAACCACGAAAUGCCAAGAGAGCCCAAAAGAGCAGAAGAGCAAAGGUCACAAAGCCAAACCCAAAAUCAGCUCACACCACAAACUUCACAAAUCAAGCACAAACCCUCGGUUUAUGCCACACAAACACCAACACCAACAAAGCCUUAUCGAAAACACAAUCCAAACAAAUGAUAGACGAGAGAGAACAAAUACCCGACCAAUAGACGAAACGUGCCCGUCUCCUAGAAUCCACCAGCCACAGGACCACCACCAAAACUGAACCACAACCUCGACAAACCCGCAGACCAAACGGACCCGUCACAGACCAAAACCAAUCCUCAACACCGAUGGCUUCCCCUCCUUCAAUCGUCUAUCACCGCAUAUAGGAUUUUGCUGACAAAAACGCAACAACACCGAAAGCAACAGAUCUAAACCAAGCAAUCCAAAGUAAAACGAAGGAGAUGAAGCAAAGAACUCGACAUAGGAAGCAACGAAAACUCCGUCACCCACCAACCACCGAAUCCCUCAUCAACCAAAAUCCACCUUUGAAAUUACCCUUGAAACAAAAGAAAACGCAAACUAACAACCAAACUAAAAACAAGACAAAGAUCUACACCCUCCCACAGCUCCGGCGAGAAGCCCGGCCGCCGGGGAGGUCUAAUCGGAGAAAUUGAAGGAUGGGCGGCGGCUAGGGUAUUUGUCGAGAGAGAAAAGGAAAAAAGGGGACCAGAACCUUAGAAAAGUAGUCUAUAUAUUAGAAAAGUAUUCAU
This 1333-nucleotide long non-coding RNA is filed under the name Arabidopsis lyrata. RNAcentral describes it as "long non-coding RNA (ALYR_LNC003095)". Lineage: Eukaryota; Viridiplantae; Streptophyta; Magnoliopsida; Brassicales; Brassicaceae. The record is from RNAcentral.